Molecule: long non-coding RNA, 1977 nt
Filed under: Mytilus galloprovincialis (Mediterranean mussel)
Lineage: Eukaryota; Metazoa; Mollusca; Bivalvia; Mytilida; Mytilidae
Source: RNAcentral
UGUUUGUAGAAAAUUUAUUAGUGAUUUACAAAAAUAUAUGAUUUAGUGAAUAAAUAAUCAUGUAAAUACAAGUUGCAUAAUUCAGUAAAUAGUACAUGAUAAACAGUUUUUAAUGUAAAAAUAGUUUUUAAACUCUGGUUAACAAAAGUGAUAUAAAAUGCAAUUUACUGAAGUAUAAUAUUUUAAAUUCUCUCAGUAAAAACAUAUUCGGUUUCAUUGAUAAAAAAAGGGUGAGACAUAAGUGCAGCUAUGAAGACACUAUAAACUCACUUAAAAAUAAAACAUCACCCAUGGUCUGAAUCUCUUCAUAUCAAAAACAUUUUUUGCCAUUUUUUUCAAAUAUAAUAUUUGUUUCCAAAAUAUAAAAAAUCUUUGGCUUUGAAGCUAUUAUUUGUGACUAUAGGAUGUAAAAGCUUUUCGAAUGCAAGAAAACUGGAAUAUUCAAUCUUAACUUAUUUAAGAGAUUCAGUGAAUAAAGUAUAUAUCAAAUGAUGAAAGUUAAAAACAAAACAACAUAUGAUUUAUCAAGAAAACAAUGAGUUUGACCACAAUGAAUAUGCUGUCAUAAAAUAUGAAAAUAAGAUCAGAAUAAUUUUGUAUUCAGAAUUCAGAAAUUAUAGCAUGCAUUUAUUAUUGCAAUUUUUUAAGAAUGGACACCAAUGUGAUAUUAAUUAUUAUAAUUUCAGAAAAAUCUGCAUCAGAUAUCAGAAUUUAAGUUCUUAUAAUUGUGUCACCCAGUCACAUUAGUUUAUUCACAUUUAUAGUAAAAACCUCACAAUAAUUUUGGAAUUUACAGUAUUCAGUUUUGAAAUCAUAAUGUUCAGGACAGGCACAAUUUUUUUUUUAUCAAUAGCAGUAAUUGUAACAACAUUCUUCAAAAACUAAACUCUGACAUGUUGUUUACCUAAAUCACUCUGAUGCAUAUGCAAGAUGUAAUCACUGCAUUUAUCUUUUAUCUUAAAUCUACCACAUUAAAAAUAAAAAUAUUGGAAUUGUUGACUGACAGAAAAAGAACACAUCUGAAAAAAGCAAAUGCAAAUAUAUUUAUCAAGAAAAGUCCUAUUGAGCAUUUGAAAACUACAACCUGUCAACAGAAAACAUAUUCAUGUGUGAAAGCCUUUAAAAGGGGUUAUUUAAGCUGAUGGAAGAACAUUGUUGCUUGAGACAGAAAAAUUAAUGGGACUUUUUAUUUAUAUCAUACAAAUACAUCUUUUAAAAAAAAAACUUAAAAAAAAACAGCAUUUUGAUAGAUUAUGAGGCAUGUUGUACAUGUAUGAUGAUACAUAAAGAUAUUCACUUGCAAAAUUAUUCAAUUUCUAACUGUUAGUGAAAAAUUUUAUGAUUUUCAGAGAAAAUAUUUCUUGAACAUAACAAAUAAUUCAUAGUGUUAUAUUAUAAUGGAUUUUUAUUGAUCCAAUUUACAAAUAAACUCAUUCUUCCCGUUAUUGCUUAUUGAAUAUACAAUGAAUGCAAUUAAUUGAAGUUUCAAAACAUUUUUACAAACUAAUUUUCAGAAAAGAAUUUUAUGAAACGUUUCCUUCAAAAACGAUUGUCUAUAUUAUCUUGAAACUACAUAAAAACGUAUAUUAAGAUUAAAUAAUAAAGCUGUUUCAAUGAGAAAAUGUAGGAACUACAGACAAUUAUUUAAAAAAUCCAAAAGUGCAUAAAAAAACUCUCUAUCAUAAUCAAAAUAUGUCAAAAGUAAACUAUUAUAGGUCAAAGUACUGAUUCAACAUGGAGUCAAUGUUCAUUAACCAUAAUUAUGAUUAUGAAGCAAAAAGUUGACGAUUUUUUCUCUACUUCACUUUUUACAAAAAAUCACAAUAAAAUGUGUUAAAGCUCAUAGAUAUCUAACAUAGGGGUAAAGUGAACAAUGUGUUAAUAACUUUAAAGUAAAAUGUAACGUCCACUGAACAAAAAGAAAAUUAUCAUUUCCAUACACUAAAAUGAGUAUGUAAGUAAAACAUGAUAAAUAAC